CCUACGGGAGGCAGCAGUGAGGAAUAUUGGUCAAUGGGCUUACGCCUGAACCAGCCAAGUCGCGUGAGGGAAGACUGCCCUAUGGGUUGUAAACCUCUUUUGUCAGGGAGCAAUUGGCGCUACGUGUAGCGUUAUCGAGAGUACCUGAAGAAAAAGCAUCGGCUAACUCCGUGCCAGCAGCCGCGGUAAUACGGAGGAUGCGAGCGUUCUCCGGAUUUAUUGGGUUGAAAGGGUGCGUAGGCGGAAUGCCAAGUCAGCGGUAAAAUCGCGGGGCUCAACCUCGCUCCGCCGUUGAAACUGGCGUGCUUGAGUGGGCGAGAAGUAUGCGGAAUGCGUGGUGUAGCGGUGAAAUGCAUAGAUAUCACGCAGAACUCCGAUUGCGAAGGCAGCAUACCGGCGCCCAACUGACGCUGAAGCACGAAAGCGUGGGUAUCGAACAGGAUUAGAUACCCUUGUAGUC
Molecule: ribosomal RNA, 460 nt
Filed under: uncultured bacterium
Lineage: Bacteria
Description: partial 16S ribosomal RNA
Rfam family: Bacterial small subunit ribosomal RNA
Source: RNAcentral